Molecule: non-coding RNA, 70 nt
Filed under: Schistosoma curassoni
Lineage: Eukaryota; Metazoa; Platyhelminthes; Trematoda; Strigeidida; Schistosomatidae
Source: RNAcentral
UCAAUAACUCCGCCUGUAGCUCUUAUAGGGUUGCUGCCGGUCCCAAGCCCGGAUAAAGGAGGAGGGUUGG